This is a long non-coding RNA of Mobula hypostoma (lesser devil ray), 1625 nucleotides long. RefSeq lists it as uncharacterized. Lineage: Eukaryota; Metazoa; Chordata; Chondrichthyes; Myliobatiformes; Myliobatidae. The record is from RefSeq and is a predicted model, not a curated record. The transcript has 3 exons.
UGCAGUGGGAGGCCGCUGGGUUAAUUUUUCUGGUUGACUCACGCAAAGGGAAGAUGUAACCUGUGCGGGCGGGAGGAGAUUUGAACAGAGACACAGGAGAUCUCAGAUGCUGGAAUCUGGAGCGACAGAUAGUGGGCCGAGCAGCAUCAGAAUCAGAUGGGCUGAUGCAGGUUUGGGAUCCCUAAGAAAUUUCAAGAGAUAACAGUUAUACCAUUAAUGGUAGAACUCAGAAAAGCCUUGCAUCAUUUUACUUGCUGUUAUUACCCACAAUCUACUGGGGCAGCUGGAAGACAGAAUGCGACCCCGAAUAGCAGGAGAAACAAAACUUCUCAUGGAGCCAACCAUUGAUGGGGCACCAUCAGUACAGAUGCCAACGAAGUUCCUCCAAGACAGACCUUUUGUUUCCAGAUAUGAAGACAAACCAUGUAUCUUGGCCUUUGUGUGUUUCAGGAAGCUCUUUGCAACAGAAAAACUUUUCUUGAAUUUCAGCAUCACUUACAAAUCUUACGAAUGCUACAACAUGACAUUUAUUGGUGAAAUCUGUUGACCCAUCAACAGCUUCAAUAGAGAAGCUGUUGUUUUUCAGUUUAUCACACAAAAUCUCUUCGGCAUUGCGUGACAUGACAUCAAUACGUCGACUUAAUCAUACUGAUUGAGAGUGAAACUUUUGCAGAUUUUUGUGUUGCAUCUUGUCCGAACGCAGGGGUAAUAAAAUAUAAAAAAGAAAGGCAUUACAAAAAACUAAAUGAGAAAACUACAAAAAUAUGAAAACUUCAUAAUAAUAUUCACUUCUAAACUACACAAUUCACCUUUUGCAAUGUUUAUAACAACAGCAAAGUGGCAGGCCAGCACCUGGGUUGCAGCGUGUAAAAACUCCUUUAGAAAAAAAAUUUCCCUCCAAUUUUCUACUACACCGAUAGAGUUUGUUUGCUCCCAUAAGUCAGCCAGUGGUGCGUAAGGGGAAGUUGGGGGAGGUAUUCAGGAGGGAGAGGCUAACAUCGCAGUCCAAGUUGGGUGAGUUUAUUCAAUGCUGAGAAAACACCCUUCAUGCUCCUCAUUAAUCAACCGUGCUCCCCUCCAUGGAAUACACCGCUCACCAAUUAUCAGCCUGCUGUCUUCUGCUCCGUGCAAUACUGCAUUCACCAAUUAUUAACCUACUGCCCUCCCCUCUAUGCAAUACAGCGCUCGCCAAUUAUCAACAGCCUCCCCUAUCCUGUGUCAAAAACCGAAAAUGGACUGCACACUGGGCUAAGAGAUCUCUAAUGAGAUUGCUAACGAGUCGGCUUAGUCACUGCCCACCACUGCAAGGCUAGCAUCACAUUCAAAAACAAUGUUUAUUUCUUUUCAAUCAUGACCUCUCACGGAACCUUAGGGUUCCAUGGGGUCCUGGUUGAGAAACCUGUUAUAGAGUAUUUUUUUAGUGCUGCAUUGGAUUUGAAGUAACAAUUAUUUCAUCUCCACUUAUUUACUUUUAUUCCAUUUGUGUACUGGAAAUGAUACUAAACAAUUUUGAAUCUUGAUUACAUUGUUUUGCUGUAGUUUGGAGUCAAAUAUAGGCCAGACUAUUAGAAAUUUUCUUUCAUUAAGGGUAAUGGUGAACCAGAUUUAUUUGAAUGACAAUCUGU